Molecule: long non-coding RNA, 247 nt
Filed under: Ananas comosus (pineapple)
Lineage: Eukaryota; Viridiplantae; Streptophyta; Magnoliopsida; Poales; Bromeliaceae
Description: long non-coding RNA (ACOM_LNC028731)
Source: RNAcentral
AAGUGGUGGGAGAGGCCAGAUUGGUGGAGGUCUGGUUGGACCGAGUCAUAUUCGGAGUGGUAUGAGAUUGGUUGGCCGAGUCACAAUCGAAAUCCGUGGGCAUUGUAUCUAUACGUUAUAACUAAAUUGACUGUAUCUUUCUAUUAGCUCGAGUUUUUGAGAUUAAUGACUAGCGACAACGAUCCAACAAUAAUUAAUUAUGUAUUCUUAAAUUUAUCCCUAACUUUUUACUCAACCACUCAUUUAC